The submitters of this non-coding RNA (84 nucleotides) gave its source as unclassified sequences. The record is from Rfam.
GUAGCUUGAGGAUAGGGAGUUGGUGACGCUAUCACACCCUUUGGGUCAAAAGAGAUGCUGGGUCAGUCACACCAGCCAAGUUAC